CCAGACUCCUACGGGAGGCAGCAGUAGGGAAUCUUUCACAAUGGGCGAAGGCCUGAUGGAGCAACGCCGCGUGCAGGAUGAAGGCCUUCGGGUUGUAAACUGCUUUUAUAAGCGAGAAAUAUGAUGGUAACUUAUGAAUAAGGAUCGGCUAACUACGUGCCAGCAGCCGCGGUAAUACGUAGGGGGCAAGCGUUAUCCGGAUUUACUGGGUGUAAAGGGAGCGUAGACGGAUGGAUAAGUCUGAAGUGAAAGCCCGCGGCUCAACUGCGGGACUGCUUUGGAAACUGUAUGGCUGGAGUGCAGGAGAGGUAAGUGGAAUUCCUAGUGUAGCGGUGAAAUGCGUAGAUAUUAGGAGGAACACCAGUGGCGAAGGCGGCUUACUGGACUGUAACUGACGUUGAGGCUCGAAAGCGUGGGGAGCAAACAGGAUUAGAUACCCCCGUAG
This 445-nucleotide ribosomal RNA is filed under the name uncultured bacterium. RNAcentral describes it as "bacterial SSU rRNA". It matches the Rfam family "Bacterial small subunit ribosomal RNA", at positions 331 to 793 of the family's 1533-position model. The record is from RNAcentral.